RNAcentral lists this ribosomal RNA (253 nucleotides) under uncultured bacterium. RNAcentral describes it as "partial 16S ribosomal RNA". It matches the Rfam family "Bacterial small subunit ribosomal RNA", at positions 524 to 776 of the family's 1533-position model. The record is from RNAcentral.
UACGAAGGUCCCAAGCGUUGUUCGGAAUCACUGGGCGUAAAGGGCGCGUAGGCUGCUCAAUAAGUCGGGUGUGAAAACUCUGGGCUCAACCCAGAGCCUGCACUCGAAACUGUCGAGCUAGAGUUCUGGAGGGGAAAGCGGAAUUCCUGGUGUAGCGGUGAAAUGCGUAGAUAUCAGGAGGAACACCGGUGGCGAAGGCGGCUUUCUGGACAGAAACUGACGCUGAGGCGCGAAAGCUAGGGGAGCAAACAGG